Triplophysa dalaica is the source of this 1445-nucleotide long non-coding RNA. RefSeq lists it as uncharacterized. NCBI's taxonomy places the organism in Eukaryota, Metazoa, Chordata, Actinopteri, Cypriniformes, Nemacheilidae. The record is from RefSeq and is a predicted model, not a curated record. The transcript is spliced from 4 exons.
UUUAACCCCUGCGAGUUAGACACAGAAAGCCUGAACUCCCGUGAGAUGACAUUUGUCCUUUUUUCAUGCAUGACUUGGAUGUCAAUGAUGAGGACUCGUACCACCAAAUUCCAGUAGGAAUCCUCGGCAUUGAUGCAGAAAUUCUACAGCUAAACAACUCUUGGAAGGGAAUUCAGCGGAACCGGACAACUUGCCUGAGGCCUUCGGUCUUCUGUUUGGACUCAUUUAUGCCCUACACAUGGACUAUUUAAGGACUAUGAAAAACACUUUCUAUUUCAUCCAGCAGGUAUUUCUUAACCUUGGCAAGGUUGAGCUUCCACCCAAAAUUCAAUCACUGAAAAAUCCAUUUUACCGUGUAAAAAGGUUUUCUCCACAAAACAUCUGAAUGACGUUUCUAUUCAUUUUUUAUACAUUUAUUCACUUUUGGAAAAAAAGGCCAUGGUCUGCUUUUGUUCAAAAGACCCUCCCUCUCAGGUAGGUGGGCGGGACUUUGGGGUAUUUUUUCAUAAAUUGGGAGACCCCACAAGACCAUUCACCCACUUUCUGCUCGAGCAUCCAACGUGGAAUUCUUUUGCUGAAGUUUUUUGGAAAACCUUCUUGAUUCAAGAAUGGCUUCUCAAAGCAAUGUGCACAGAGGACACUACCUUCUUUGCCCAACAUGCAAGAAGAUGCAGUCCACCCUAUCGGUUCACCUGCGCAGGGUGUGCAUGAAAAAUGCAACACCGGAGGCGAUCGCUGAGGUGGUGGAAAAGGAGAAGGUUGAUUGAGGAAAUGGAGCGUCGCCACAUGGUGGUGACUGAUAUUCCUCCAGCACUGGCAGCGGCACAAAGUAAAAAGACAGCAGGUAGCCCCUCACGGACGACUGCCGGCGAAUAAAACAAAGCACAACUAAAAGCCAGGCCUGGACCACUCUCAUCAACGGUCUGGUCGCUCGUAUCCAGAAAAGUUCUGAGAGGGGAGCGAGUACUGAAGCAGAUAAACACUGAAGUAGAAUAGUAUGAACCCAAGUCAGUUAUGCUCAUGAUAUAUCAUAUGUCAUUAGAGUGAUGUGUAAAGUGCCAUUUGGAAGAAUAAAGCUGUCUGUUGUUCAAGAGUGGCCUGACACAAGGAAUGCGACAAGCUGAAACCCAUGUCUUGCAUUCGUUUUGUGUGUAGUGGUUCUUGAAGCACUGACUCCAGCUGCAGUCCACUCUUUGUGAAUCCUCCCCACAUUUUUGAAUGGGUUUUGUUCACAAUCCUCUCCAGGGUGCGAUUAUCACUAUUGCUUGUUAACUUUUUUUCUACCACAUCUUUCCCUUCCCUUCUCCUCUCUAUUAAUGUGCUUGGGCACAGAGCUCUGUGAACAGCCAGCAUCUUUUGCAAUGACCUUUUGUGUCUUGCCCUCCUUGUGCAAGGUGUCAAUAGUCGUCUUUUUGACAACUGUCAAGUUAGCAGUCUUCCUCAUG